UUUUAGUAGCCACUUAGUCACAAACACUGGCCAAAGUUAGCGUUCAUAAUUGUUUUUUGCAUUUUAAUACACAAACUAUUAUAAAUGCUAACCUUGGCCGGUGUUUGUGACUAAGUGGCUACUAAAAAAU
Molecule: microRNA precursor, 130 nt
Filed under: Pelobates cultripes (western spadefoot toad)
Lineage: Eukaryota; Metazoa; Chordata; Amphibia; Anura; Pelobatidae
Source: RNAcentral